AGACAGAGGAGGCAAGCGUUGUUCGGAAUCAUUGGGCUUAAAGAGGGUGUAGGCGGUCUGGAAAGUGUCUUGUGAAAUCCCACGGCUCAACCGUGGAACCGCUCGGCAAACUUCCAGACUUGAGGUCGGUAGAGGUGCCUGGAACUCUAGGUGGAGCGGUGAAAUGCGUAGAUAUCUAGAGGAACGCCAGAGGCGAAAGCGGGGCACUGGGCCGAAUCUGACGCUGAGACCCGAAAGCGUGGGGAGCAAACAGGAUUAGAUACCCCAGUAGUCC
RNAcentral lists this ribosomal RNA (274 nucleotides) under uncultured bacterium. RNAcentral describes it as "partial 16S ribosomal RNA". It matches the Rfam family "Bacterial small subunit ribosomal RNA", at positions 523 to 796 of the family's 1533-position model. The record is from RNAcentral.